CGUAGGUGGCGAGCGUUGUCCGGAUUUACUGGGCGUAAAGGGAGCGUAGGCGGACUUUUAAGUGAGAUGUGAAAUACCCGGGCUUAACUUGGGUGCUGCAUUUCAAACUGGAAGUCUAGAGUGCAGGAGAGGAGAAUGGAAUUCCUAGUGUAGCGGUGAAAUGCGUAGAGAUUAGGAAGAACACCAGUGGCGAAGGCGAUUCUCUGGACUGUAACUGACGCUGAGGCUCGAAAGCGUGGGGAGCAAACAGGAUUAGAUACCCUGGUA
RNAcentral lists this ribosomal RNA (267 nucleotides) under uncultured prokaryote. Its description in RNAcentral is "partial 16S ribosomal RNA". It matches the Rfam family "Bacterial small subunit ribosomal RNA", at positions 526 to 792 of the family's 1533-position model. The record is from RNAcentral.